This 497-nucleotide ribosomal RNA is filed under the name uncultured bacterium. Its description in RNAcentral is "partial 16S ribosomal RNA". It matches the Rfam family "Bacterial small subunit ribosomal RNA", at positions 28 to 507 of the family's 1533-position model. The record is from RNAcentral.
GACGAACGCUGGCGGCGUGCCUAAUACAUGCAAGUAGAACGCUGAAGCGAGGAGCUUGCUCUUCUUGGAUGAGUUGCGAACGGGUGAGUAACGCGUAGGUAACCUGCCUUGUAGCGGGGGAUAACUAUUGGAAACGAUAGCUAAUACCGCAUAACAAUGGAUGACACAUGUCAUUUAUUUGAAAGGGGCAAUUGUUCCACUACAAGAUGGACCUGCGUUGUAUUAGCUAGUAGGUGAGGUAAUGGCUCACCUAGGCGACGAUACAUAGCCGACCUGGGAGGGUGAUCGGCCACACUGGGACUGAGACACGGCCCAGACUCCUACGGGAGGCAGCAGUAGGGAAUCUUCGGCAAUGGGGGCAACCCUGACCGAGCAACGCCGCGUGAGUGAAGAAGGUUUUCGGAUCGUAAAGCUCUGUUGUAAGUCAAGAACGGGUGUGAGAGUGGAAAGUUCACACUGUGACGUUAGCUUACCAGAAAGGGACGGCUAACUACGUG